This 448-nucleotide long non-coding RNA is filed under the name Nilaparvata lugens (brown planthopper). RNAcentral describes it as "uncharacterized LOC120355710, transcript variant X2". The record is from RNAcentral. Lineage: Eukaryota; Metazoa; Arthropoda; Insecta; Hemiptera; Delphacidae.
CUGAUGUCAGCUGAUGUCAUGUCCCGAAGAUUUCUAGUAGGGCUUGACAGCUGGUGAUGGAGAUGAAUUUGAAGGCGAUAAGAGUGGACAGCAUAGGCAGAGUUUUGGACAGUGGACAAAACGGACUUCGCAGCCACAGAACAACAUGAGUCACUUCUCUUCUGCUUCUGCUACAACGUCAUCUUCUUCUUCUGCUUCUACUGCUGCUGCUGCUUCUUUGCUGAGAAAUCCACACUUUUGGACGUUUGUAGCUGAUUGCUGAUCAUUGCAGUAAUAAGGUGUUACAUCUAUUCAGGUUUACAGUGAAACGUUCACUGUCGGAUAGGCCCACAAAAAAAACCGGGCACUAACCUCAACGUCCAAUACUGGCACCUGGCUCCAAGAGGUCCUGCCCCCCCCCAAUGUAGUGAGUGGUCCCACCCACGCCAAAGGGCGCAUUGAGCCUAAC